UGCUUUAGAUCUCAAGAAUAUUUAAGUAAAAAAUAUUUUUGAAAACAUGUGGGAUAACAGUAUGAUUCAUUAGGUACAUUGUACAAGCCCUAUACUGUACUGCAUGAGAAAUGCUAUCAAACUUUCAGGACCACAAACUGGGUUGUGCUAAAAGGACAGAACUGAGCAGUUGGGAAUAUAUGCUGUAGACCAAGAAAUUAAUGCUGAAUUUUAAAAUAUGCAUGAGAUAUCAGUAAAGCACACAUAUUUUAGCAGGAAACAAAUAUUUCCUCUAAUGACACUGACACAAGUUAUCCAGUGUAGCCUACUGGUUUUAACCUGUAUGCUAUUUUUCUUUUUUUUUAGAUUUUUUCUCAGAAUCACAGGAAAUGAGAUGGGAAUCAGAAAGUCCAUCUCAUUUUUACUGCCCAGUUUGAGGCAAGACUGGCUGUAUCUAUACUGUUCCUGACAGAUGUCUGGGACGCCCACAAGAAGGAUGAAAUCUGCACACCUUCCUAUACAAAGCCGACAUGCUCCCACUCCAGGAAAACCAGGAACUGCAUUCUGUGCCCUGCCUCUUAUUGUCCCAUCUGUGCAGAGUGGCAGCAGCUUAAAAGAAAAAAUCAAAUUUACUUGAGCACUACACAAGAUGAGAUACUGAUGCCAGCUAAAACUACAGCCAGAGCACAUUUCUGAUAUAACUGCAUGGAUCUGGUAUAUAUUUAAAAAUACAAAUCUUAUUAAUUGUAAAAGUAAAUAUAAAGAUUCAAAUUUCUGUACAAUUCUGUUGUCUCAGGUACUGACAUGAACAGAAAACUAUAUUUUUUUUGAUGAAUUAUUUUAUCUUUUUUCUGCAAAGAAUGAAACUUUGCCCUCUAAGUGACUGUACCUCUGAACUAACACCAGUCCUUUUUGAUGUUCUAGUGUUUUUUUGUUUGUUUGCUAUUUUAGAUAUUUGCACAGAAAAAAGUGACCCAAAAAUUGGGUAAAUAUUAUGGCCUUUGUAUGUUUUCACAUGUAAUAUAUAAAUGCAGGCACAAUUGUCACUCAUGAAGGGUAUCAAAUAUCCUUGAAGCUUGGGCAGAGUGUUCAUUAUCUUUUGUUUUUCUAAAUUAAAAUGUUUGCACAGUCCUGUUUUAUUGUAUAUGACAUGUUGGCAACCAUACUGUAACUGAUGCCAUUAAAUAUGUGACAGUGUCAGUUUCAAUUUUUUUUUUCUCUGUUGCAAUAAUUGGACAAAUUUUUCAUGGAAGUUACUGUUUUUACAUUUGAGGUAAAAAGUUACCUAUAUCAAAGCCUUUGUAAAAUGUCUCAAUCCAUCUAAAAUUAGA
Long non-coding RNA from Prinia subflava (tawny-flanked prinia), 1310 nucleotides. RefSeq lists it as uncharacterized. Lineage: Eukaryota; Metazoa; Chordata; Aves; Passeriformes; Cisticolidae. The record is from RefSeq and is a predicted model, not a curated record. The transcript is spliced from 4 exons.